This 277-nucleotide long non-coding RNA is filed under the name Mytilus galloprovincialis (Mediterranean mussel). Lineage: Eukaryota; Metazoa; Mollusca; Bivalvia; Mytilida; Mytilidae. The record is from RNAcentral.
GUCCGGGUAUUUGAAGAUAUGCCUGUUAGCCCAAGAAGCGAACAAAUAAUGAAUCAGAAUAGCAAAUAAGUACGAGGGCGUUUAGAGAACUGUUAAUGAAUACCUUUGAGAUGAAUAGUGGCCACCGACUCAGAGAAUGAGAAAAGAACACAACGGACAGCAGGGCUGUAAAUAAAAUUAAAGCAGAGAAACAGACAAAUAUAGCAACAUAAAGCGUCCGGUAGAAGCACUUGGUUCAGCAACUCAAAUGGCAAAUAAUGGUACAAGUGGAUUUGAU